This 216-nucleotide long non-coding RNA is filed under the name Elaeis guineensis (African oil palm). Its description in RNAcentral is "long non-coding RNA (EGUI_LNC039363)". Lineage: Eukaryota; Viridiplantae; Streptophyta; Magnoliopsida; Arecales; Arecaceae. The record is from RNAcentral.
CUUGAGAUUUUAGUAUCUUUGAAAUCUCAUCUUCAACCUGAGCUUUCAGGCACCACAUGGAUUAGAAAAUUGUACAUUGAACAUACGAUUUCCUAUGUGGCAUCUUAUUGGCCAAAAUAAUCAUAGAUCCAUAAAUUAGUUUAAAGUAACCAUACUUUCAAAAAUAAAUAUUAAACAACAUUAUUUCAAAAAAAAAUCCACAGUAGAGGGGUGAGG